This 253-nucleotide ribosomal RNA is filed under the name uncultured bacterium. Its description in RNAcentral is "partial 16S ribosomal RNA". It matches the Rfam family "Bacterial small subunit ribosomal RNA", at positions 524 to 776 of the family's 1533-position model. The record is from RNAcentral.
GACGGAGGAUGCAAGCGUUAUCCGGAAUGAUUGGGCGUAAAGCGUCCGCAGGUGGCAGUUCAAGUCUGCUGUCAAAGACCGGGGCUUAACCCCAGAAAGGCAGUGGAAACUGAAGUGCUAGAGUGCAGUAGGGGUAGAGGGAAUUCCCGGUGUAGCGGUGAAAUGCGUAGAGAUCGGGAAGAACAUCGGUGGCGAAGGCAGCCCCCUGGGCUAACACUGACGCUCAGGCACGAAAGCGUGGGGAGCAAACAGG